RNAcentral lists this ribosomal RNA (303 nucleotides) under uncultured bacterium. RNAcentral's name for it is "partial 16S ribosomal RNA". It matches the Rfam family "Bacterial small subunit ribosomal RNA", at positions 507 to 807 of the family's 1533-position model. The record is from RNAcentral.
AGCAGUCGCCGCGGUAAGACAGAGGAUGCAAGCGUUAUCCGGAAUGAUUGGGCGUAAAGCGUGCGUAGGUGGUUGUUUAAGUCUGUUGUGAAAGCCCUGGGCUCAACCUGGGAAUUGCAGUGGAUACUGGGCAACUAGAGUGUGGUAGAGGGUAGUGGAAUUCCCGGUGUAGCAGUGAAAUGCGUAGAGAUCGGGAGGAACAUCCAUGGCGAAGGCAGCUACCUGGACCAACACUGACACUGAGGCACGAAAGCGUGGGGAGCAAACAGGAUUAGAUACCCCCGUAGUCCCUGUCUCUUAUAC